This 526-nucleotide ribosomal RNA is filed under the name Bacillus sp. (in: firmicutes). RNAcentral's name for it is "bacterial SSU rRNA". It matches the Rfam family "Bacterial small subunit ribosomal RNA", at positions 20 to 525 of the family's 1533-position model. The record is from RNAcentral. Lineage: Bacteria; Bacillati; Bacillota; Bacilli; Caryophanales; Bacillaceae.
UGGCUCAGGACGAACGCUGGCGGCGUGCCUAAUACAUGCAAGUCGAGCGGAUUGAUGGGAGCUUGCUCCCUUGCAUAUCAGCGGCGGACGGGUGAGUAACACGUGGGUAACCUGCCUGUAAGACUGGGAUAACUCCGGGAAACCGGGGCUAAUACCGGAUAACUCAUUUCCUCGCAUGAGGAAAUGUUGAAAGAUGGCUUCUUGCUAUCACUUACAGAUGGACCCGCGGCGCAUUAGCUAGUUGGUGAGGUAACGGCUCACCAAGGCAACGAUGCGUAGCCGACCUGAGAGGGUGAUCGGCCACACUGGGACUGAGACACGGCCCAGACUCCUACGGGAGGCAGCAGUAGGGAAUCUUCCGCAAUGGACGAAAGUCUGACGGAGCAACGCCGCGUGAGUGAUGAAGGUUUUCGGAUCGUAAAACUCUGUUGUUAGGGAAGAACAAGUACCGUUCGAAUAGGGCGGUACCUUGACGGUACCUAACCAGAAAGCCACGGCUAACUACGUGCCAGCAGCCGCGGUAAUA